UAAGACGAACCGUGCGAACGUUGUUCGGAAUCACUGGGCUUAAAGGGCGCGUAGGCGGGCCGCCGCGUCCGGGGUGAAAGCCUCCGGCUUAACCGGAGCAGGGCCUCGGGUACGGGCGGUCUAGAGGGGGGUAGGGGCGUGCGGAACACUGGGUGGAGCGGUGAAAUGCGUUGAUAUCCAGUGGAACUCCGGUGGCGAAGGCGGCACGCUGGAUCCCAUCUGACGCUGAGGCGCGAAAGCCAGGGGAGCGAACGGGAUUAGAUACCCCGGUAGUCCUGGCCCUAAACGUUGAGAACUAGGUAGUCGGCCGGACAUGGGCUGACUGCCGGAGCAAAAGUGCUAAGUUCUCCGCCUGGGGAGUAUGGUCGCAAGGCUG
This 376-nucleotide ribosomal RNA is filed under the name uncultured bacterium. RNAcentral's name for it is "bacterial SSU rRNA". It matches the Rfam family "Bacterial small subunit ribosomal RNA", at positions 521 to 896 of the family's 1533-position model. The record is from RNAcentral.